CAAAAACGGAAAAACAAUCGAGGAUGUUGCAACAGGAAUGUCAUCUACACCAUUUGAUUAUGGUGCUGGACAUGUGAAUCCAACAGCAGCUGUCAGUCCUGGUUUAGUGUAUGAUCUAACAGUUGAUGACUAUAUAAACUUUCUAUGUGCCUUGGACUACAGCCCGAGUAUGAUCAAGGUCAUUGCAAAAAGAGACAUCUCCUGUGACGAAAAUAAGGAGUAUAGAGUUG
Molecule: unclassified non-coding RNA, 230 nt
Filed under: Hevea brasiliensis (rubber tree)
Lineage: Eukaryota; Viridiplantae; Streptophyta; Magnoliopsida; Malpighiales; Euphorbiaceae
Source: RNAcentral